Molecule: non-coding RNA, 125 nt
Organism: Triticum aestivum (bread wheat)
Lineage: Eukaryota; Viridiplantae; Streptophyta; Magnoliopsida; Poales; Poaceae
Source: Rfam
UAUGUACUCCCUCCAUCCGGAAAUACUUGUCGGAGAAAUGGAUGUAUCUAAACGUAUUUUAUUUCUAGAUACAUCUAUUUUUAUGCAUUUCUACGACAAGUAUUUCCGGACGGAGGGAGUAUAAA